Molecule: long non-coding RNA, 321 nt
Filed under: Homo sapiens (human)
Lineage: Eukaryota; Metazoa; Chordata; Mammalia; Primates; Hominidae
Description: non-protein coding lnc-DIMT1-2:1
Source: RNAcentral
AUUUCUGGAAGGCUGUCAUCCAAGGCCAUUUUUGCGCUAUAAGCAGGGUCUCUGGAACCAAAGGGAGCACACAAAUCUUCUUAAAACUGAAGGUGUUUAUGCCCAAGAUGAAACUGAAUUCUAUUUGGGCAAUAAAUGUGCUUACGCACACAAAGCAAAGAACAACAAGUGACUCCUGGCAGCAAACCAAACAAAAUCAGAGUAUUCUAGAGAAAGGUAACUUGGGCCCAAGGAAACAUUGGCAUGGUUUUUGCCAAAUUCCAAAGCGAUCCUUCUGCUAAGGCCAUUGGACAUAGAUGCUGUAACCCCUUAAAGAUUUAA